RNAcentral lists this ribosomal RNA (826 nucleotides) under Escherichia coli. Its description in RNAcentral is "partial 23S ribosomal RNA". It matches the Rfam family "Bacterial large subunit ribosomal RNA", at positions 951 to 1772 of the family's 2925-position model. Lineage: Bacteria; Pseudomonadati; Pseudomonadota; Gammaproteobacteria; Enterobacterales; Enterobacteriaceae. The record is from RNAcentral.
AAACUGCGAAUACCGGAGAAUGUUAUCACGGGAGACACACGGCGGGUGCUAACGUCCGUCGUGAAGAGGGAAACAACCCAGACCGCCAGCUAAGGUCCCAAAGUCAUGGUUAAGUGGGAAACGAUGUGGGAAGGCCCAGACAGCCAGGAUGUUGGCUUAGAAGCAGCCAUCAUUUAAAGAAAGCGUAAUAGCUCACUGGUCGAGUCGGCCUGCGCGGAAGAUGUAACGGGGCUAAACCAUGCACCGAAGCUGCGGCAGCGACGCUUAUGCGUUGUUGGGUAGGGGAGCGUUCUGUAAGCCUGCGAAGGUGUGCUGUGAGGCAUGCUGGAGGUAUCAGAAGUGCGAAUGCUGACAUAAGUAACGAUAAAGCGGGUGAAAAGCCCGCUCGCCGGAAGACCAAGGGUUCCUGUCCAACGUUAAUCGGGGCAGGGUGAGUCGACCCCUAAGGCGAGGCCGAAAGGCGUAGUCGAUGGGAAACAGGUUAAUAUUCCUGUACUUGGUGUUACUGCGAAGGGGGGACGGAGAAGGCUAUGUUGGCCGGGCGACGGUUGUCCCGGUUUAAGCGUGUAGGCUGGUUUUCCAGGCAAAUCCGGAAAAUCAAGGCUGAGGCGUGAUGACGAGGCACUACGGUGCUGAAGCAACAAAUGCCCUGCUUCCAGGAAAAGCCUCUAAGCAUCAGGUAACAUCAAAUCGUACCCCAAACCGACACAGGUGGUCAGGUAGAGAAUACCAAGGCGCUUGAGAGAACUCGGGUGAAGGAACUAGGCAAAAUGGUGCCGUAACUUCGGGAGAAGGCACGCUGAUAUGUAGGUGAAGUGAUUUACUC